RNAcentral lists this ribosomal RNA (622 nucleotides) under uncultured bacterium. Its description in RNAcentral is "bacterial SSU rRNA". It matches the Rfam family "Bacterial small subunit ribosomal RNA", at positions 338 to 951 of the family's 1533-position model. The record is from RNAcentral.
CCUACGGGAGGCAGCAGUGGGGAAUAUUGCGCAAUGGGGGAAACCCUGACGCAGCAACGCCGCGUGAGUGAGGAAGGACUUCGGUCUGUAAAGCUCUGUUAAUGAGGAAAAAUGGUAGUUGGUCUAAUAGGCCGAUUAUUUGAUGGUACUCAUAGAGGAAGCACCGGCUAACUUCGUGCCAGCAGCCGCGGUAAUACGAAGGGUGCAAGCGUUGUUCGGAUUUAUUGGGCGUAAAGCGCGCGUAGGCGGACCUGCAAGUCAGAUGUGAAAUCUCGAGGCUCAACCUCGAAACUGCGUCUGAAACUACAGGUCUAGAAUCUCGGAGGGGGAAGGGGAAUUUCGCAUGUAGGGGUAAAAUCCGUAGAUAUGCGAAGGAACACCAGAGGCGAAGGCGCCUUCCUGGACGAGUAUUGACGCUGAGGCGCGAAAGCGUGGGGAUCAAACAGGAUUAGAUACCCUGGUAGUCCACGCUGUAAACGAUGAACACUAGGUAUUGGAGGAUUUGACCCCUUCAGUGCCGUAGCUAACGCGUUAAGUGUUCCGCCUGGGAAGUACGGUCGCAAGACUAAAACUCAAAUGAAUUGACCGGNGNGAGAGNGCGAGACGACGACGAGGGAGGAGG